GACGAACGCUGGCGGCGUGCCUAAUACAUGCAAGUCGAACGCAGUGGGGACGGGUGAGUAACACGUGGGUAACCUCCCAUCAGAGGGGAUAACACUUGGAAACAGGUGCUAAACCGAUAUUGAUGGAUGGACCCGCGGUGCAUUAGCUAGUUGGUGAGGUAACGGCUCACCAAGGCCACGAUGCAUAGCCGCACUGAGCGGGUGUUCGUGCACACGUGUACGUAGAAACUGCCUAGACGCCGACGGUAGGCAGCAUGAGGGAAUCGUCGGCAAUGGACGACAUUCUGACCGAGCAAUGCCGCGUGAGUGAAGAAGGUUUUCGGAUCUGAAAACUCUUUUGUGAGAGAAGCGGUAUCUAACCAGAAAGCCACGGCUAACUACGUGCCAGCAGCCGCGGUAAUAC
Molecule: ribosomal RNA, 403 nt
Filed under: uncultured bacterium
Lineage: Bacteria
Description: partial 16S ribosomal RNA
Rfam family: Bacterial small subunit ribosomal RNA
Source: RNAcentral